AUACGGAGGGUGCAAGCGUUACUCGGAAUCACGGGGCGUAAAGCGCGCGCAGGCGGUCUUUUAAGUUGGAUGUGAAAGCCUACGGCUCAACCGUAGAACUGCAUCCAAAACUAUUAGACUAGAGUGUGGGAGAGGAAGAUGGAAUUAGUUGUGUAGGGGUAAAAUCCGUAGAGAUAACUAGGAAUACCAAAAGCGAAGGCAAUCUUCUGGAACACUACUGACGCUGAGGCGCGAAAGCGUGGGGAGCAAACAGGAUUAGAAACCCGUGUAGUCC
Molecule: ribosomal RNA, 274 nt
Filed under: uncultured bacterium
Lineage: Bacteria
Description: partial 16S ribosomal RNA
Rfam family: Bacterial small subunit ribosomal RNA
Source: RNAcentral